UCCCUGGUAGCUCAGUGGUAAAGUGUCUGCUUGCAAUGCAGGAGACUCAGGUUCCAUCCCUGGGGUGGGAA
Molecule: transfer RNA, 71 nt
Filed under: Bos taurus (domestic cattle)
Lineage: Eukaryota; Metazoa; Chordata; Mammalia; Artiodactyla; Bovidae
Also listed under: 5 other names
Rfam family: tRNA
About the family: Transfer RNA (tRNA) molecules are approximately 80 nucleotides in length. Their secondary structure includes four short double-helical elements and three loops (D, anti-codon, and T loops).
Source: Rfam by way of RNAcentral